RNAcentral lists this ribosomal RNA (253 nucleotides) under uncultured bacterium. RNAcentral describes it as "partial 16S ribosomal RNA". It matches the Rfam family "Bacterial small subunit ribosomal RNA", at positions 524 to 776 of the family's 1533-position model. The record is from RNAcentral.
GACGAACCGUGCGAACGUUGUUCGGAAUCACUGGGCUUAAAGGGCGCGUAGGCGGGUUCUCAAGUCUGGAGUGAAAGCCCACGGCUCAACCGUGGAAGUGCUUUGGAUACUGAGGAUCUCGAGGGAGGUAGGGGCGUGCGGAACUUCCGGUGGAGCGGUGAAAUGCGUAGAUAUCGGAAGGAACACCGGUGGCGAAAGCGGCGCGCUGGACCUUUACUGACGCUGAGGCGCGAAAGCCAGGGGAGCAAACGGG